Molecule: ribosomal RNA, 820 nt
Filed under: uncultured bacterium
Lineage: Bacteria
Description: bacterial SSU rRNA
Rfam family: Bacterial small subunit ribosomal RNA
Source: RNAcentral
CCCUUAGAGUUUGAUCCUGGCUCAGGACGAACGCUGGCGGCGCGCUUAACACAUGCAAGUCGAGCGACGCACCAGGGGCUUGCCCCUGGUGACGGAGCGGCGAACGGGUGAGUAACACGUGGGUAAUCUGCCCUCGGCAUCGGGAUAGCCCGGGGAAACCCGGAUUAAUACCGGAUGGCCUUCCGAGCUCUCGGGCUUGGAAGAAAAGGUAGCUUCGGCCUCCGGCCGAGGAGGAGCCCGCGGCGGAUUAGCUUGUUGGUGGGGUAACGGCCCACCAAGGCGACGAUCCGUAGCUGGUCUGAGAGGACGAUCAGCCACACUGGGACUGAGACACGGCCCAGACUCCUACGGGAGGCAGCAGUGGGGAAUCUUGCGCAAUGGGCGAAAGCCUGACGCAGCGACGCCGCGUGUGGGAAGAAGGCCUUCGGGUUGUAAACCACUUUCAGGAGGGACGAAGCCACUCGGGUUAAUAGCCCAGAGGGUGACGGUACCUCCAGAAGAAGCCCCGGCUAACUACGUGCCAGCAGCCGCGGUAAUACGUAGGGGGCAAGCGUUGUCCGGAUUUAUUGGGCGUAAAGAGCGUGUAGGCGGCCAGGUAGGUCAGCUGUGAAAACUCGAGGCUCAACCUCGAGACGUCGGUUGAAACCACCUGGCUAGAGUCCGGAAGAGGAGAGUGGAAUUCCUGGUGUAGCGGUGAAAUGCGCAGAUAUCAGGAAGAACACCCGUGGCGAAGCGGCUCUCUGGGACGUACUGACGCUGAGACGCGAAAGCGUGGGGAGCGACAGAUAGAUACCUGGUAGUCCACGCCGUAAACGAUGGG